This 305-nucleotide ribosomal RNA is filed under the name uncultured bacterium. Its description in RNAcentral is "bacterial SSU rRNA". It matches the Rfam family "Bacterial small subunit ribosomal RNA", at positions 337 to 634 of the family's 1533-position model. The record is from RNAcentral.
GCCUACGGGGGGCAGCAGUAGGGAAUCUUCCACAAUGGGCGAAAACCUGAUGGAGCAACGCCGCGUGGGUGAAGAAGGUCUUCGGAUCGUAAAACCCUGUUGUUAGAGAAGAAAGUGCGUGAGAGUAACUGUUCACGUUUCGACGGUAUCUAACCAGAAAGCCACGGCUAACUACGUGCCAGCAGCCGCGGUAAUACGUAGGUGGCAAGCGUUAUCCGGAUUUAUUGGGCGUAAAGGGAACGCAGGCGGUCUUUUAAGUCUUAUGUGAAAGCCUUCUGCUUAACCGGAGUAGUGCAUUGGACACU